RNAcentral lists this long non-coding RNA (6139 nucleotides) under Marmota monax (woodchuck). The record is from RNAcentral. Lineage: Eukaryota; Metazoa; Chordata; Mammalia; Rodentia; Sciuridae.
GCAGCAUAUAAGCCAUAUAUGGCUUUUUUUCAUCCUGUUAAAAGACAAGCACAGAUCCAACACUGAAAAUACUGCAGUUGACAAGAGAGACCUCUGUACUGCUGAGGUUUACCUUCCAAGGUUGUUAGACAGCAACCAAAGUAAUGGAUAUAUCCACGAGGAAAAGAGCAAUAAAUGAAAAUAAGGUAAUGUGACAGAGUGACUGAUGGAAAUCUAGGCAGUGUCAGAGUGACCCCUCUGACAUUUCAGCAGAAAUUUGAAUGACAAGAAGCAGAUAACCAUAGAAACUAUUGGGGGAAGAAGACUCCAGAUGUAGGACACAGCUAUCACAGUGGUCUUAAGACAGAAAUGAACACAAAAGGCUGGCAGAGCUGGAAUAUGGUAAGCCAUAGUAGGAAUGGAAGGAGGAAAAUGCCUAUAGAAAGAUAGGCAGAGGCCCUGAGGAAAGAUGGUACUGGCCACUAUAACAAGUCAGGGUGUUCUUCCAUACGAAGUGAAACCAUUAAAAGUUUUCAAGAGGAAUGUAAGAUAAGAUCUAAUUCCAUUUUAUAAAACUUCAAUCAGUCUGUUCUAUUGAGAAUUGAUUAUUGGGGCCAGUCUUACUGUGAUCAGGUAAGAGAUCAUUCAUACAGGAGACUUGACUAGAAUUUUAAUAGUAGAUAGUAGAGAAGUGUUGGGAAUUGGGAUAUGUUUUAAAGGAAGAUCUGGUAACAUUUACUAAUAGAUUAGAUGUGGGUAACUAAAAAAAAGGAAUCUAGAAUAAUGUCUAGAUUCUUUAGUUUGAACAUGAAUGAUGGAAGUAGAUGAUAGCAAAUAACAAGAGUAAGGUGGGGGGACUUUACAAUCCUCUUUGGUCUGUAUUAAAUUCAUCCAUUCUGCUCCAUAGUGUCCUGGAUUUUAGACUGAAUUUCCCUGAUUUGCUCAGAAGGCUGAUAACUUAUAAUAUACCAUCCUCUUGCAUAAUCCCCCCCAACAAGCAGUUCAUCUAUUUUGGACUCUUCCAAAAUCUGGACUGUGUUAUCUGACCUUGACAGAUAGCAUUUGGUGGCCGGGGGACUAGAGAGGGAAAGUGGUAUAGGUAUUUGAGACUUUUAAGGAACACUAAGAUAUUUAACUUUGGGAAUUUUUAAAGGCUUAGGGUUAUAGAAUGAAGUUUCAAUGGACAGAAAUUUAGACAUUAAGAAAUGUGGCUAGUUUUGACCAAAAAAUAAAAAAAGAUAAUUGAGUUUGGAGUUGAUAUGUUUGAGAUGAAGGCAGAAGAUGUUCAUAAUAUUAUUCUUCAUGAGUUAGAAACAUGUUGGUAUGUAAAGUUCUUUAUUCCUGGAUUUACAAAGAAGAAUAUUGUAGAAAGUCAAUCUCACUAUUAGAGCCAUUGGUCAUGAGAUCUAUAUAUAAUCCCGAACUUUCAAAAACAGACAGCUUUUAGGCACUUAUGUCAUUUAUGUCAAUUUAAUUCAGCAGUAUUUGAUGUUAGCCCCCAUAUAUCAACAGGAGACUUUAUUUACAAAGGAUUCACCAGGAGGCAUUAAAUAGGAAGAAAAUUAAAUGAUGAGCUCACUGAUGAAAACACAAUGUUAAUGAGACUCUUGAGGAUCACAAUCUAUUGCAUUAAAAUAAGGUAUAACUCUGUCUAGAGUGUUGUAUUGUUUUCUGAGGAAUUUUGGACAAACAUUUCCUGCUUUGUUCAGAGGAACAACAGUGGAUGUCCUCUUUCAUUCUCAUGAGUUGACUUAUCUUUUUCAGGAAAAUAAUAAAGAAAAAAAAAGUCCUUUUUAAACUAAAAAUUGCCUUCUUCUGAUGAAAGAAGCCCCAGAAGGGUUAAGAAAAUUUACCACUGUUGAAAAUUUACUUCAUUUUUUUUACAGAUUAUUUUGAAUCUGCUCUAAGAAAUGUGUCUGUCCUCUCUAAAUGCAUGGUGGAAAUGGUUCAUUGAGUGUUAUGAAAAGAAAGUUUAGUCUCAUUUCCUAAGCAGACUUUUUAACCUGACAUUGCUAAAUGGGGAAGAAUUCUUUGGGAUUAUGGUGUAUGUUUUGAUAGAGAUCCUGAAACAGCUGGUUAUUUUCAGUCAUUUUCUCACUGUGGGAAGAUACUGCUGCUGCAUGAGGCAAGGGAGAUAGAACCUGGCUCUCCAUAUAAAACUAGAAGAAAAAAGUGCCAGAAAAUUCAAGAAGAAAAUUCUAUUUUAUAUUUCAGACACACAUAUUUUACUAUUCUGUUCAUAAAUGUGCAUUUGAUCAUGUGUAUUUAAAUGACAAAAAUAACGACUAUACUAGGACUAUAUCAGGUUCUGAAAAUCUGAGGGAUUUUAAAGUCUCCACAUGGGUAGAAUUUUGGGGGCCCUUUAGUUAUUUUCAUGAUCGAGGAUCUGGAAUAUUUAACAGGUCUUGAACCCACCUUCUCUUAAGGUAUAGGGUGCUGCACUACUUGACACUCCCUUUCAAAACCUUAAUCAUUUCAUGGUGCGAUUUCUGUGAAUUCACUGUGUGGUUUGCUCUGGGCCAUGAGAAACACAUCCAUCAGGUACAGUUCUGAUUGCGCACAGGUAGAUGGUUUAUAGACUGUUAGCCCGUCCUGCUGCUUUAGAUUUGAAGAAUUACUCUACAAGAACAAGGCAGGUUCUAUUUUUGACAUUUCAGCAAUGAGACCACUUGUACAUUAUGGCCUGAUUUGAUUUACUGUAAGAAAAUAAGAGUGCUGUAAUUUGUAAAAGACAUUUAUUACAUGAGUCCAAAAUUUAAAAAAAAAAUGCUUAGUGUCUCUGUCCAUCCCAUCUGGUUUUAUUUUAAUCUCACUCUAGUCACAUAUGAAAUUUUGCUUAGCUGUCUUCAUUUUCUUAGUCAAUCUUGAUUAAUGGCCUUCAAAGUAAAAAUAAUUGGCCUGCAUCAGGGUUGUUUUAUAACUCUUGUUCACAAAGAAUGUGAGAGGCUGGAAAAUGAGCCUAAACAGAAGGAAUGCAUUACGUUCGUCUUUGAGAAAGAGCAGUCCUUUAGUCGUGUUGCUCUGUGUAUUUUUAUAACAGGCGCCUCCUUGACCGUCCACGAUAUUGCAGAUAUGCUGUGCCAAAGCUUUAUGUAUACUUCGUCAAGCUGACCAUGGCAGCUCCAUGGCUCCACGCAGCCACACAUGUGAGGGCAGAACGAACCCAGGCCAGCCUAGCAAGAUGGAGAAUUUCAAAAGUAAAUUAUCAAGAAAGCUGAGGCUUUGAACCCCAGAAGUUAAAACCGGGCAGGGGGCUAAUUGUCUCUGAAGUUUAAAUGGCUUGUUUAUAAAAGGCUUCUCCAGCAUGUAUAUUUUUUUCCCCCUUUCCUGAAAAGUGUGUUCAAACUUUAAAGGAGUUAGGGGAAAUACAAGCGCCCUGUGACCAUUGUGGGUUUGGAAGUGAGCUCUGUUUCCUUUCAAGAUCUCCAUUUCUGGGAGAGCUCGUCAGUUAAAGAAAUAAAUUUUAGUUCAAAAAAAGAAAACAACCACACACACACUCUGAGAAGAUAAUUUCUUUCUUACUUCAAGUUUUGUAAAUGGAUAUAUUAUAAAUGGGUACAAUAUGGCUCUUUAAAAAAAAAGCUAGUCAUUUUAUGAUUGUACUGAUGAGAAAACUAACAUCAAAAUCUUUCCAGUUUUUCGAUCAUCCCAAAACUAGGUUCAGUUACCCAGUGAUUUUUUUUCAGGAAAUUCACAUGUUCUGAUGUUGGUAUUUUAAAAACAAUUAAAAUUCCCUCUAGGAUCCAAUUGGUGUUGAAUAUAUAUGGAAUUACACCAGCCUGCGCUCACACACACACACACACACACACAUACACCAUGUCCCAGCCCGGACAAGCUGGCAUUCAGCCAGUACUCUGCUAGGAACCAUCAUUUCCUUUCCCACACAGCCCAAAGGCUGCUCCUUCAGGGGCAGGCUAAAAGGUAGAAGGGUGGAGUGCAGUUGGUAAACUGAGGGAAAAACACUUCAACAGUUUCACUUAAGUAACAACUAUAGUAGAGCUUUGAUUAAAAACCUACAUGAGUCAAGCACAGUAGUGCAUGCCUGUAAUCCCAGUGGCUCAGGAGUCUGAGACAGGAGGAUCACGAGUUCAAAGCCAACUUCAACAACAGCAAGGUGCAAAGUAACUCAGUGAGACUCCGUCUCUAAAUGGAAUACAAAAUAGGUUACAAAAUAGGUUGGGGAUGUGGCUCAGUGCUUCAGUGCCCCUGAGUUCAAUCCCCAGUACCAAAACAAAACAAAACAAAACAAAAAACAACAAAAAAAACCCAAGCUCUGUGUUUUUAUAAAAGGAAAGUAAGUUCUCUUUUAGUUGGAGAAGGAUCCUUAUGACAGCAAAAUUGUAACCAUGAGAAAAAAUUGGUCUGAGAAUUCCAGCCCAGUCCCUGACCCAUACAUUUCAUGUUUUUCCAGCCAGGCUUCUUGGGCCUCUCACUUUUGCUUGGGUUUCUCAGGUGCUGCUCCUUCCUACAUAGUUCCUUCCAUUUCCUCAGCCUCUACUUAUCUUCUUUGACUCUUGAGCCCUUGGAUUCUCUCCACGUGUCUCGCUUGUUCUCAGAGUCUGCUGAUCUUUGAAGAGAUGAGACUAGGAAUUUCCUGGCUGGUGAUUUGCAUUCCCUUCUUCCAUGAAUCAUAGGAGAGUUUCAUUUUUCAUAACAAUAGGGCAAUCACAUAAUUUCCCAGUCUAACACACACCCUCAAUGCGCACCCCUUCCCCAUGAAUCCAUAAUGUAGUCUGAACGCUUUAAGUUCAUGAGUUUUAUUGUUUUCUGAAAUGCAUUGAAAUAGUUGCUCAGAUUGAGUAUAUAUCAGUGCAUAAAGCACUUCAUACAAUUUCAUAUAAUAUCAGAUUUAUGCUAAACAAAGAAUAAAUAUUUUGUUUAUCUCAAUAAUCCUUAGUGCUAAGAAAUGUAUAUUUUUGUCUUCGCUUUAUAGAUAAGUGAUAGGCUUGGGAAAUUAUGUAGGCAUCUGUUUUAAUCCAAGACCCAUUUUGUUACCUUCUAUUCCAUGAUUUCUAUACUUGGUCCUAUUGGCAUUUGAGACUGAAUAAUCCUUUGUAAUAGAAGUUGUUGUACCUAUUGUAAGGUGUUUAAAAAUAUCCCAAAUUUCCACUUGUCAGAUCCUACUGUCACCCUCCCCCAGGUAUUGUCAACCCCAAAAUUCUCUAGAUAUUGCUUCUCUAAAACAGAGUAGUACUAUACAGAUAUUUUUCUCUGUUACCUGUGUAACUUAACUGAUACACAUAAAGCCCUAAGGUCAGGAAGGCUUGUUUGACAGUGUUAUCAUCAAAUCACAGUAAAUCCCAAGAAGUGGGGGGCUGGGGAUGUGGCUCAAGCGGUUCGAUCCUCAGCACCACAUAUAAAGAUGUUGUGUCUGCCGAAAACCAAAAAGAUAAAUAUUAAAAUUCUCUCUCUCUCUCUCUCUCUCUCUCUCUCUCUCUCUCUCUCUCUCUUUAAAAAAAAAGAAGUGGGGAGAAGAUGCAAUGGAUCCUCAGAGGAGCUCUGAGAAGUCCCAAUGUGUGAGUAACCAUCCUUCUCUCCAAGGACUUGUCAAAAGCCACGUAGGAUUUUUGAAAGUGAAACCAAUGGCUGUGACUAUAUCAUUACAGAUUCAAGUUUAUGAACCCAUUAGAGGAUCCAGGCUCCCACUUAUUUUUCCAAGGAAGAGUUAAAAUAACACGUGGCUCAGAAGGAGAAGAGGACAUAGGUCUGCAUCAGACCACGUAGAUCUUGAAAGAGUAUGGAUGAGUGACUGGAAACUUCUAGUGGUGCUCUCAAUCUUCUCCCAGGUCUGAGGCACAUUAACCCAGAAGACUUCUAAAUCUCUUUUCCCUCAACCCAACCAGUAAUAUACCCAGAUGCCAUGCUUACUUUUUUCGGUCAACUUUCUUAACCUCACUUUCUGUGGAUUCCAACUCUCCAAUUACAAGUCUUUCUGUCCUCAUCUGGUAUUUUCACAAGUGCAAAAAUGAGGUUCACUUUCCAAAAGGGGUUUUCACAUUAGUUUUUCAUGCUCUGGGUUGGGGCCUUGUGUGACACACAUCUAAUUCAUCUAGCAUCUUCUCCAAAACAAUAUUACAUUUCAUGACUAUACCACAUUUUCAGAACAGAAAGAAUACCAGGCCUACUACUACGAGGAGCUUGCAAAAUUGUACCGGACCUC